CGGACGGGUGAGUAAUGUCUGGGAAACUGCCCGAUGAGGGGGAGUAACUACUGGAAACGGUAGCUAAUACCGCAUAAUGUCUGCGGACCAAAGCGGGGGACCUCCGGGCCUCGCGCCAUCAGAUGAACCCAUAUGGGAUUAGCUUGUAGGUAAGGUAACGGCUUACCUAGGCGACGAUCCCUAGCUGGUCUGAGAGGAUGAUCAGCCACACUGGGACUGAGACACGGCCCAG
RNAcentral lists this ribosomal RNA (232 nucleotides) under uncultured bacterium. Its description in RNAcentral is "partial 16S ribosomal RNA". It matches the Rfam family "Bacterial small subunit ribosomal RNA", at positions 99 to 334 of the family's 1533-position model. The record is from RNAcentral.